GAUGAACGCUGGCGGCGUGCCUAAUACAUGCAAGUCGAGCGAACAGAUAAGGAGCUUGCUCCUUUGACGUUAGCGGCGGACGGGUGAGUAACACGUGGGUAACCUACCUAUAAGACUGGGAUAACUUCGGGAAACCGGAGCUAAUACCGGAUAAUAUUUCGAACCGCAUGGUUCGAUAGUGAAAGAUGGUUUUGCUAUCACUUAUAGAUGGACCCGCGCCGUAUUAGCUAGUUGGUAAGGUAACGGCUUACCAAGGCCACGAUACGUAGCCGACCUGAGAGGGUGAUCGGCCACACUGGAACUGAGACACGGUCCAGACUCCUACGGGAGGCAGCAGUAGGGAAUAUUCCGCAAUGGGCGAAAGCCUGACGGAGCAACGCCGCGUGAGUGAUGAAGGUCUUCGGAUCGUAAAACUCUGUUAUUAGGGAAGAACAUAAGUGUAAGUAACUGUGCACGUAUUGACGGUACCUAAUCAGAAAGCCACGGCUAACUACGUG
This 497-nucleotide ribosomal RNA is filed under the name uncultured bacterium. RNAcentral's name for it is "partial 16S ribosomal RNA". It matches the Rfam family "Bacterial small subunit ribosomal RNA", at positions 28 to 507 of the family's 1533-position model. The record is from RNAcentral.